This 453-nucleotide ribosomal RNA is filed under the name uncultured bacterium. RNAcentral describes it as "bacterial SSU rRNA". It matches the Rfam family "Bacterial small subunit ribosomal RNA", at positions 29 to 521 of the family's 1533-position model. The record is from RNAcentral.
AACGAACGCUGGCGGCAGGCUUAACACAUGCAAGUCGAACGCUCGUAGCAAUACGGGAGUGGCGGACGGGUGAGUAACGCGUGGGAACGUGCCCUGAGGUACGGAAUAACUGAGGGAAACUUCAGCUAAUACCGUAUGAGCCCCGAGAGGGGGAAAGAUUUAUCGCCUUGGGAGCGGCCCGCGUCGGAUUAGCUAGUUGGUGGGGUAACGGCCUACCAAGGCUUCGAUCCGUAGCUGGUCUGAGAGGACGAUCAGCCACACUGGGACUGAGACACGGCCCAGACUCCUACGGGAGGCAGCAGUGGGGAAUCUUGCGCAAUGGGGGGCAACCCUGACGCAGCCAUGCCGCGUGAACGAUGAAGGCCUUAGGGUUGUAAAGUUCUUUUACCCGUGACGAUGAUGACGGUAACGGGGGAAUAAGCUCCGGCUAAACUUCGUGCCAGCAGCCGCGGU